Molecule: ribosomal RNA, 402 nt
Filed under: uncultured Paracoccus sp.
Lineage: Bacteria; Pseudomonadati; Pseudomonadota; Alphaproteobacteria; Rhodobacterales; Paracoccaceae
Description: bacterial SSU rRNA
Rfam family: Bacterial small subunit ribosomal RNA
Source: RNAcentral
UGGGGAAUCUUAGACAAUGGGGGCAACCCUGAUCUAGCCAUGCCGCGUGAGUGAUGAAGGCCUUAGGGUUGUAAAGCUCUUUCAGCUGGGAAGAUAAUGACGGUACCAGCAGAAGAAGCCCCGGCUAACUCCGUGCCAGCAGCCGCGGUAAUACGGAGGGGGCUAGCGUUGUUCGGAAUUACUGGGCGUAAAGCGCACGUAGGCGGACUGGAAAGUCAGAGGUGAAAUCCCAGGGCUCAACCUUGGAACUGCCUUUGAAACUAUCAGUCUGGAGUUCGAGAGAGGUGAGUGGAAUUCCGAGUGUAGAGGUGAAAUUCGUAGAUAUUCGGAGGAACACCAGUGGCGAAGGCGGCUCACUGGCUCGAUACUGACGCUGAGGCGCGAAAGCGUGGGGAGCAAACA